This 492-nucleotide ribosomal RNA is filed under the name uncultured bacterium. Its description in RNAcentral is "partial 16S ribosomal RNA". It matches the Rfam family "Bacterial small subunit ribosomal RNA", at positions 29 to 507 of the family's 1533-position model. The record is from RNAcentral.
AGUGAACGCUGGCGGUAGGCCUAACACAUGCAAGUCGAACGGCAGCACAGUAAGAUCUUGCUCCUGCCGUUAGCGAGUGGCGGACGGGUGAGGAAUACAUCAGCAACUUCUUUUUCGUGGAGAACAUCGGAGAAAAACAUACGCUAGUACAGCAUACUACGUACGGGUUAAUUCAGAGGAACAUCGGACCUUGCGCGAAUGAUGUAGGCGAUGUCGGAUUACCUAGUCGGGGUGGUAACGGCCCAACAAGGCGAGGAUCCGUAGCUGGUCUGAGAGGAUGACCGGCCACACUGGAACUGAGACACGGUCCAGACUCCUACGGGGGGGAGCAGUAGGGAAUAUUGGGCAAUGGGCGCAAGCCUGAUACAGCAACACCGCGUGAGUGAAGAAGGCCUUCUGAUGGUAAAGCUCUGUUGUUAGGAAAGAAAAGGAGCAGUGUAAUCCCAUGAUGUCAUGACGGUACCUAAAAAAUAAGCAUCGGCUAACUACGUG